RNAcentral lists this long non-coding RNA (443 nucleotides) under Brassica napus (rape). Its description in RNAcentral is "long non-coding RNA (BNAP_LNC015610)". Lineage: Eukaryota; Viridiplantae; Streptophyta; Magnoliopsida; Brassicales; Brassicaceae. The record is from RNAcentral.
UAAAUUAUGUACUUAUGAUUAUUUCUCACCAUAACUCUGACUAGAUAUACACUGGGGUGUAAUUUAAGUCUGGGGGGGAUGAUUACUGAUAUUAGUGUGUUCAUGAGUCUUAUCAAAAUAUUUUCAAAAGAGUUUUAUUGAGUCAAGAAGGGGAUAAUGAACUUAUUAGAUUUUUGCUUGUUAUCUAACAACUCAUUACCACCAUUCUAGACUUACUAAUUGCAGAUAGUACUAAAGAUACUAAAGUGGAUCAACCUUUCAACUAUGUUACAUUUGCUGAGAAUGUUUGAAGGAACCAAAGCUGACCUCCAACCUAGUUGAGCUCAACUUUGUUUGUCUUGGGGCUUGAUAUACAUGGGAUCGGAUUCUUGAAACAAGUCUGAAAGGUAAAGCCUUGUGUAGAUAUGUCACCCUCUCUCUCUACUUCGAAAUUUAGAUUAUAA